GUCUUGCUGCGGCUCGCGUCGAAGGCAACUUAUCCCAGCGACCUUAAUUGUCUCGAAGGGAGCUGUCCCUGUCUUGGCCCGUGGGCUCGGACAUUACGGCGCCCACCUGGUUGUCCAGGUCGAGGGGAUUAAACCGCCCUUCACGGUUCUCGCGGCGCCGCC
This is a non-coding RNA of Phenylobacterium zucineum, 162 nucleotides long. Lineage: Bacteria; Pseudomonadati; Pseudomonadota; Alphaproteobacteria; Caulobacterales; Caulobacteraceae. The record is from Rfam.